AGAGUUUGAUCAUGGCUCAGAAUGAACGUUGGCGGCGUGGAUUAGGCAUGCAAGUCGUGCGCGAUUUUACGGAUUGAAACUUCGGUCGAUUGAAGUAAAUGAAAGCGGCGAAAGGGAGAGUAACGCGUGGAUAUCUGCCCUUGGCCCCAGAAUAGCUACGGGAAACUGUAGGUAAUGCUGGAUAAUAUCUCCGGAUCAAAGGUGUGAUUCCGGCCGAGGAUGAGUCCGCGUCCUAUUAGGUUGUUGGCGGGGUAAUAGCCCACCAAGCCGAAGAUGGGUACCGGGUGUGAGAGCAUGGCCCGGCUCACUGGGACUGAGACACUGCCCAGACGUCUACGGAUGGCUGCAGUCGAGAAUCUUCCGCAAUGGACGAAAGUCUGACGGAGCGACGCCGCGUGCGGGAUGAAGGCCUUCGGGUUGUAAACCGCUGUCAGUUGGGAGGAAAUGCUAUGGGGUUCUCUCCAUAGCUUGACCGAUCUUCAGAGGAAGUACGGGCUAAGUACGUGCCAGCAGCCGCGGUAAUACGUACCGUACGAACGUUAUUCGGAAUUACUGGGCUUAAAGAGUCCGUAGGCGGCUUUAAAGGUGAGGUGUGAAAUCCCACGGCUUAACCGUGGAAUUGCGCUUCAAACCAUAAAGCUAGAGGGAGAUAGAGGAAAGCGGAACUGAUGGUGGAGCGGUGAAAUGCGUUGAUAUCAUCAGGAACACCGGUGGCGAAAGC
RNAcentral lists this ribosomal RNA (721 nucleotides) under uncultured bacterium. RNAcentral's name for it is "bacterial SSU rRNA". It matches the Rfam family "Bacterial small subunit ribosomal RNA", at positions 8 to 722 of the family's 1533-position model. The record is from RNAcentral.